RNAcentral lists this ribosomal RNA (1399 nucleotides) under uncultured Microgenomates group bacterium. RNAcentral's name for it is "bacterial SSU rRNA". It matches the Rfam family "Bacterial small subunit ribosomal RNA". The record is from RNAcentral.
UUGAUCCUGGCUCAGGAUAAACGCUGGCGGCGUGCCUUAGGCAUGCAAGUCGAACGGGUCUGGCUUGCCAGACCAGUGGCGGAAGGGUGAGUAACGCGUGGGAACGUACCUAUUGGUGGAGUAUAGCCUUCCGAAAGGAGGGGUAAUACUGCAUAAGUUCGUAAGAAGAAAGGGCUUAACCGCCCGCCGAUAGAGCGGCUCGCGUCCUAUCAGUUUGUUGGUGGGGUAAUGGCCUACCAAGACAAUGACGGGUAGCUGGGCUGAGAGGUCGGCCAGCCACAAGGGAACUGAGACACGGUCCCUACAUCUACGGAUGGCAGCAACCGGGAAUCUUGGACAAUGGGGGAAACCCUGAUCCAGCGACGCCGCGUGGGGGAAGAAGGCCUUCGGGUUGUAAACUCCUUUUGCCAGUUAUAAUGACUUGGCGAAUAAGCACCUGCCAACUACGUGCCAGCAGCCGCGGUGAAACGUAGGGUGCAAGCGUUAUCCGGAUUUACUGGGCGUAAAGGGUUGCGUAGGCGGUAACUUAAGUCAAAACUCAAAUCUUCCAGCUCAACUGGAAAUCGGGUUUUGAAACUAAGCUGCUUGAGUCUUGGAGAGGUAGCCGGAACUUGCAGUGGAGCGGUGAAAUGCGUUGAUAUUGCAAGGAACACCGAUGGCGUAGGCAGGCUACUGGUCAAGUACUGACGCUGAUGCACGAAAGCUAGGGGAGCGAAAGGGAUUAGAGACCCCUGUAGUCCUAGCCGUAAACGAUGGACACUAGCUGAUUGCUUUUUAAAGUGAUUGGCGCAAGCUAACGCGUUAAGUGUCCCGCCUGGGGAGUACGGCCGCAAGGCUAAAACUCAAAGGAAUUGACGGGGACCUGCACAAGCGGUGGAGCAUGUGGUUUAAUUCGAAACAAAGCGAAAAACCUUACCAGGGUUUGACAUCCUAACUGCACGCCGUUGGAAACAAUGGUUUCUUCGAGAGUGUUAGGACAGGUGCUGCAUGGCUGUCGUCAGCUUGUACCGUGAGGCGCACCCUUAAGUGGGUCAACAAGCGCAACCCCCAUCGUGUGUUAAAUGUUCACACGAAACCGCCCGCUAAAAGCGUGGAGGAAGGCGGGGAUGACGUCAAGUCAGCACGGCCCUUAUGCCCUGGGCUACACACAUCCUACAAUGGGUAUGAACAACGAGUUUGCAACGUCGCAAGGCGAAGCUAAUCUAUAAAAGUACCCUCAGUUCGGAUUGAGGGCUGCAAUUUGCCCUCAUGAAGCUGAAAUCGCUAGUAAUCGCGGAUCAGCAGGCCGCGGUGAAUACGUUCUCAGGUCUUGUACACACCGCCCGUCAAGCCAACAAAGUCGGGUGUGCCCGAAGUAUCCCUCUGGGGUCCUAAGGCAAAACCGGCGAUGGGGACUAAG